GACGAACGCUGGCGGCGUGCCUAAUACAUGCAAGUAGAACGCGCAGUUUAUACCGUAGCUUGCUACACCAUAAACUGUGAGUUGCGAACGGGUGAGUAACGCGUAGGUAACCUGCCUGGUAGCGGGGGAUAACUAUUGGAAACGCUAGCUAAUACCGCAUAAUAUUGAUUAUUGCAUGAUAAUUGAUUGAAAGUUGCUAUUGCCUCACUACCAGAUGGACCUGCGUUGUAUUAGCUAGUAGGUGAGGUAACGGCUCACCUAGGCGACGAUACAUAGCCGACCUGAGAGGGUGGUCGGCCACACUGGGACUGAGACACGGCCCAGACUCCCACGGGAGGCAGCAGGAGGGAAUCUUCGGCAAGGGGCGGAAGUCUGACCGAGCAACGCCGCGUGAGUGAAGAAGGGUUUCGGGUCGUAAAGCUCUGUUGUAAGAGAAGAACGGGUGUGAGAGUGGAAAGUUCACACUGUGACGGUAUCUUACCAGAAAGGGACGGCUAACUACGUG
This 505-nucleotide ribosomal RNA is filed under the name uncultured bacterium. RNAcentral's name for it is "partial 16S ribosomal RNA". It matches the Rfam family "Bacterial small subunit ribosomal RNA", at positions 28 to 507 of the family's 1533-position model. The record is from RNAcentral.